UUAUCGGAGAGUUUGAUCCUGGCUCAGGACGAACGCUGGCGGCGUGCCUAAUACAUGCAAGUCGAGCGGACAGAUGGGAGCUUGCUCCCUGAUGUUAGC
RNAcentral lists this ribosomal RNA (99 nucleotides) under Bacillus subtilis. Its description in RNAcentral is "partial 16S ribosomal RNA". It matches the Rfam family "Bacterial small subunit ribosomal RNA", at positions 1 to 96 of the family's 1533-position model. Lineage: Bacteria; Bacillati; Bacillota; Bacilli; Caryophanales; Bacillaceae. RNAcentral also lists the same sequence under 3 other names. The record is from RNAcentral.